RNAcentral lists this long non-coding RNA (170 nucleotides) under Chrysemys picta bellii (western painted turtle). RNAcentral's name for it is "lncRNA (ENSCPBG00000014906.1)". The record is from RNAcentral. Lineage: Eukaryota; Metazoa; Chordata; Testudines; Emydidae.
AUGCAACUACAUGUAUCAGGCAUCCAGAAUUUGACUCAAGCACAGACUGAUUGGAGAAGUACAGGCUUAAGUUUGAAAUUUCAGAAAGAGAUCAUUUGAGUUAUUAUGAAUAUCACAAAGAUUGCAUGUCUUCAGAUUAAUUUCCAGGUACAUUUCACUGUAUCUUUGCC